GUGGGGAAUAUUGCACAAUGGGGGAAACCCUGAUGCAGCAACGCCGCGUGAGUGAAGAAGUCAUUCGUGAUGUAAAGCUCUAUCAGCAGGGAAGAAAAUGACGGUACCUGAGUAAGAAGCCCCGGCUAACUACGUGCCAGCAGCCGCGGUAAUACGUAGGGGGCAAGCGUUAUCCGGAUUUACUGGGUGUAAAGGGAGCGUAGACGGCCAGACAAGUCUGAAGUGAAAAUCCAGCGCUUAACGUUGGAAGUGCUUUGGAAACUGCCGGGCUAGAGUGCAGGAGGGGCAGGCGGAAUUCCUAGUGUAGCGGUGAAAUGCGUAGAUAUUAGGAGGAACACCAGUGGCGAAGGCGGCCUGCUGGACUGCAACUGACGUUGAGGCUCGAAGGCGUGGGGAGCAAACAGGA
Molecule: ribosomal RNA, 406 nt
Filed under: uncultured bacterium
Lineage: Bacteria
Description: bacterial SSU rRNA
Rfam family: Bacterial small subunit ribosomal RNA
Source: RNAcentral